RNAcentral lists this ribosomal RNA (508 nucleotides) under Glomus sp. Glo8. RNAcentral's name for it is "SSU rRNA". It matches the Rfam family "Eukaryotic small subunit ribosomal RNA", at positions 569 to 1078 of the family's 1831-position model. The record is from RNAcentral. Lineage: Eukaryota; Fungi; Glomeromycota; Glomeromycetes; Glomerales; Glomeraceae.
AACAGCCGCGGUAAUUCCAGCUCCAAUAGCGUAUAUUAAAGUUGUUGCAGUUAAAAAGCUCGUAGUUGGAUUUCGGGGUUAGUAGGUUGGUCAUGCCUCUGGUAUGUACUGGUCUCACUGAUUCCUCCUUCCUGAUGAGCCGUAAUGCCAUUAAUUUGGUGUUGCGGGGAAUUUGGACUGUUACUUUGAAAAAAUUAGAGUGUUUAAAGCAAGCUAACGCUUGAAUACAUUAGCAUGGAAUAAUGAAAUAGGACGUUCGAUCCUAUUUUGUUGGUUUCUAGGAUUGACGUAAUGAUUAAUAGGGAUAGUUGGGGGCAUUAGUAUUCAAUUGUCAGAGGUGAAAUUCUUGGAUUUAUUGAAGACUAACUACUGCGAAAGCAUUUGCCAAGGAUGUUUUCAUUAAUCAAGAACGAAAGUUAGGGGAUCGAAGACGAUCAGAUACCGUCGUAGUCUUAACCAUAAACUAUGCCGACUAGGGAUCGGAUGAUGUUAAUUUUUUAAUGACUCA